AGCAGCCGCGGUAAUCCCAGCUCCAAUAGCGUAUAUUAAAGUUGUUGCAGUUAAAAAGCUCGUAGUUGAAUUUCGGGGUCAGUAGGUUGGUCAUGCCACUGGUAUGUACUGGUCUCACUGAUUCCUCCUUCCUGAUGAACUGUAAUGCCAUUAAUUUGGUGUUGCAGGGAAUCUAGGACUGUUACUUUGAAAAAAUUAGAGUGUUUAAAGCAGGCUAACGCCUGAAUACAUUAGCAUGGAAUAAUGAAAUAGGACGUUCGAUCCUAUUUUGUUGGUUUCUAGGAUUGACGUAAUGAUUAAUAGGGAUAGUUGGGGGCAUUAGUAUUCAAUUGUCAGAGGUGAAAUUCUUGGAUUUAUUGAAGACUAACUACUGCGAAAGCAAUUUGCCUAAGGAUGUUUUCAUUAAUCAAGAACGAAAGUUAGGGGAUCGAAGACGAUCAGAUACCGUCGUAGUCUUAACCAUAAACUAUGCCGACUAGGGAUCGGAUGAUGUAAUUUUAAUGA
RNAcentral lists this ribosomal RNA (504 nucleotides) under uncultured Glomus. RNAcentral's name for it is "SSU rRNA". It matches the Rfam family "Eukaryotic small subunit ribosomal RNA", at positions 569 to 1074 of the family's 1831-position model. The record is from RNAcentral. Lineage: Eukaryota; Fungi; Glomeromycota; Glomeromycetes; Glomerales; Glomeraceae.